UCCUUUGCCUCUCUCUCUCUCUCUCUUCCCUUUUUCUUGCAAAAACCCUAGCCACCGCCUAUCUCUCCUUUUCUCUCUAGUCUAAAAAUGGUAACUAUGCAGAGCAAGUGUAAGAUGCAUAGCUUUACAGCGUUAUCUACGUGCAAUGAAUUAAUUCAAAGGUUGUUUUUACCCAGAUCUUUCCAAAAUCGAGUAUGAUCCAGGCUCCAGUUCUAUGCCUCGUGGCUGAUACGCGAGGGUGACAUCUUUCGGUCAUUCUGGGUGAGCUACUUAGUCAACCAUGGCCCCUGAAGGACUCUCUUAUUUAAUUCUAUUUUUUUAUUCGACAGACAGUAUGUAGCCUUCGGGUAUUUUCAGACUUUUAUUCCAGACUAUAUUUAGCAUCUUGUACCCUUGACCAGAUUUUGGGGUUGUCGUGACAUUUCUAGUUUAUAAUAAGUAUUUAAGACUUGAUAACUUA
This is a long non-coding RNA of Lycium barbarum (goji berry), 460 nucleotides long. RefSeq lists it as uncharacterized. The record is from RefSeq and is a predicted model, not a curated record. Lineage: Eukaryota; Viridiplantae; Streptophyta; Magnoliopsida; Solanales; Solanaceae. The transcript has 2 exons.